Molecule: long non-coding RNA, 1318 nt
Filed under: Ananas comosus (pineapple)
Lineage: Eukaryota; Viridiplantae; Streptophyta; Magnoliopsida; Poales; Bromeliaceae
Description: long non-coding RNA (ACOM_LNC017203)
Source: RNAcentral
AUAAAUUGGGAAAUUAUGAGAAGGCUAGUAUGCUUCCAGAAGCACGGACUGCUUUUAUGUCGUUUUCGAUAUUGAGAUUUUUUAAAUCGAUGAUAUGUUCUGUUAUAAUUGAUCUAAAAUAUUUGAAAUAUCUAAAAAUUAAAUUUUGUGAUUUUUCAAUAUCAUUUGACUAGUGAUGAAGGAGGUUAAAAAUCAACAGCUGAAAAUAAAAAUCUUACAAUAUGUAAUAAUAUGACAUUAAAAUUUUAAAUCAAAGAUAUUGAUCUUGUUUUAUAUAGUAUAAAAAAUUUUCUAUCAAAACUUUUACGUGAUUUUAAUAUUUCUACACCGUUAAAUUCGCAAACGACUCACCAUGGUUAUUAAAAUUAUUAAUUUUGAGCUCCUUCGAUCACUAGGCAAAUAAUACUGAAAAAUCGUAAAAUUUAUUUUUUAGGUACUUCAAAUACUCUAGAUCAAAUCUAACAGAGCCGAUUGUCAGUUCGAAAAUCCCAAUAUCGAAAACGAUGUGAAAACACAGAGAGUUAUGUGCUUCUAGAAGCAUGCUAGCCCCACGCACAAAUUAUAAGUUUUUCACAAGAACACUAUAAAAUUUCUAAUUUACUAAAUAAUCAUUUUAAAAUUUUAUUCGGCCCACUAAAUUUUUUUUAUGGAUAAAAAUGAGGAGUCAUUCACCAUAUUAAAGUUUUUUUUUAUUUUUUAUAUGAUUGUUAAAAUUGUAUUGACAAAUUGUUAGAAUGGCUUUUUUUGAAUUUAGCCCCCUGGCAAAUUUUUAUUCUAAAAAUAGUCCUGUCAAAAUUUAAUUUGCAAAAAUGAUCCUAGGUCUGCAAUGCAGGCGCCACGUCAGUGCCACGCGGGCGGGACUGGGGGGGGUAAUUAAGUUAAACACAAUGAACCAUUCACCGUGUCUAAACGUAUUUUUUGUAUAUUAAAAAGAGAAAUAGGAAAUUUGUAUUCCUUUUCUUCUUGUUUUCAAAAAUCCGAACCCAAACCCCAAAAUCAAAUUAAAAUCCAAACCCAGAUCCGAACACGACGGAUUUUAAAAAUUCAUACCCAUAUCCAUAUCCGACCAAAAGCUUGAAACCCGAACCUGAGCCCAGUGGGUUUUAAAAAUCUAUACCGUUGGAUGAAAAUAUAAAAAAUAAAAAUUAUUAAAUAUUUUAUAUAUUGUAUAAAUAAAUAAAAAUAAAUAUGUAUAUAUAUAUAUAAUUAUUCGGGUUUGGAUUCGGAUAAUAUUUCAGAAAUCCAUACCUAUUGACAUCCCUACUACAUAUUCCUCUUUUCAAUAUACAAAAAAUACGUACUAAACACGGUGAACCAU